This 794-nucleotide ribosomal RNA is filed under the name uncultured Acidobacteriota bacterium. Its description in RNAcentral is "bacterial SSU rRNA". It matches the Rfam family "Bacterial small subunit ribosomal RNA", at positions 75 to 847 of the family's 1533-position model. The record is from RNAcentral. Lineage: Bacteria; Pseudomonadati; Acidobacteriota.
GGGCUUCGGCCCUGAGUAGAGUGGCGAACGGGUGAGUAACACGUGGGUGAUCUACCUCUGAGUGGGGGAUAACGUUCCGAAAGGAGCGCUAAUACCGCAUGACGUUCUGGGUUUGAAGACCUGGAAACCAAAGCCGGGGACCGCAAGGCCUGGCGCUUGGAGAGGAGCCCGCGCCUGAUUAGCUAGUUGGCGGGGUAAUGGCCCACCAAGGCGACGAUCAGUAGCCGGCCUGAGAGGGCGGACGGCCACACUGGGACUGAGACACGGCCCAGACUCCUACGGGAGGCAGCAGUGGGGAAUUGUUCGCAAUGGGCGCAAGCCUGACGACGCAACGCCGCGUGGAGGAUGAAGGUCUUCGGAUUGUAAACUCCUGUUGAUCGGGACGAAUGGGCUCCGGGUGAAUACUCCGGGGCAGUGACGGUACCGAUUGAGGAAGCCACGGCUAACUCUGUGCCAGCAGCCGCGGUAAUACAGAGGUGGCAAGCGUUGUUCGGAAUUACUGGGCGUAAAGGGCGCGUAGGCGGCCUUGUCAGUCAGACGUGAAAUCCCCGGGCUUAACUCGGGAACUGCGUCUGAUACUACAAGGCUGGAGUUCGGGAGAGGGAUGUGGAAUUCCAGGUGUAGCGGUGAAAUGCGUAGAUAUCUGGAGGAACACCGGUGGCGAAGGCGGCAUCCUGGACCGAAACUGACGCUGAGGCGCGAAAGCCAGGGGAGCAAACGGGAUUAGAUACCCCGGUAGUCCUGGCCCUAAACGAUGAGUGCUUGGUGUGGCGGGUAUCGAUCCCUGCCGUGCC